GAUAAACGCUGGCGGCGUGCAUAACACAUGCAAGUCGAACGAUGAAGAUUAAAAGAUUUCUUCGGAAUGAACUUAAUUGGAUUAGUGGCGGACGGGUGAGUAACGCGUGAGUAACCUGCCUUGUACAAGGGGAUAGCCGUUGGAAACGACGAAUAAUACCCUAUGACAUCAAAUAAUCGCAUGAUAAUUUGAUCAAAGAUUUAUCGGUAUAAGAUGGACUCGCGUCUGAUUAGCUAGUUGGUAGAGUAAAAGCCUACCAAGGCAACGAUCAGUAGCCGGCUUGAGAGAGUGUACGGCCACAUUGGGACUGAGACACGGCCCAGACUCCUACGGGAGGCAGCAGUGGGGAAUUUUGCACAAUGGGGGAAACCCUGAUGCAGCGACGCCGCGUGAUUUAGAAGGCCUUCGGGUUGUAAAAAUCUUUUGUAUGGGAAGAAAAUGACAGUACCAUACGAAUAAGGAUCGGCUAAUUACGUG
RNAcentral lists this ribosomal RNA (477 nucleotides) under uncultured bacterium. Its description in RNAcentral is "partial 16S ribosomal RNA". It matches the Rfam family "Bacterial small subunit ribosomal RNA", at positions 28 to 507 of the family's 1533-position model. The record is from RNAcentral.